CUCCAAGAUGGUUGGGACAAAAAAUGGUCAGAGUUUCAACAAAACCAUUUAAAAUUGUCCAAAGAUCCCAAAAAUAAAAAAGAUAAUUAUUUUAAAAAUGAUGAAAAAGGGACGGUAGGUACGCUUUAUUUAACAGCGUACGCCAAGUUAAGCAAAUUGAUUGCAAUAAUUUAAGAAAAUAGAAAAUGCUCCCAGGAAAAUGCAAUGCCUUCCACAUCCUGGUUUAGUUCGCAGGCUUCAAUUCUUAUUAACAGAAUUAGAAAAAAUAUAUUGAAGACUGCGAAAUAAACGAUAUAUGCUAUCUAGUCAGCAUAAAGAGACUAAUAGAAAAAACUCGUGACACUGUGCUUCAAUUUAUUAGCCAGCACGAAAAUGAAGAGUUAAAAAAUAAAUUCUAUGAUUUAAGAAAUAGAUUUUACAAACUCAAAAUCUAUUACCAAAAAAAUGCUGCCAAUUUUACAUGGCCUCAAGUUGAAAUUCCCAUUUUUUCAGGAGAUUACGCUCAGUCGCAAAGUUCUAAAGAACUGUUUGAGCAACUGGUAGUCUCUCAAAAUGUUUCUGACACGUAUAAAAUGUGUAUUUUAAAAACUAAAUUAAGAGGAUCGGCUGCUAGUUGUAUUGCAACCUGUCUUCAACCUCAACAAAUUUUUCAGUUGCCUGGAACCUUCUUAAUGAAAAAUAUGCUAAUAAAAGGUUACUAGAAAAUACUUAUUUCAAACAAAUUUUAGGUGCUUUUAGUGUACGAAAAUUUCAAGAAAAAAUUUCUGAAAGUACACGAGCAUUGGAAAGCCUCAGUUUGUCUGCAGAUAAUUUGUUACAAGCUAUAUUAGACUAUAGGUUUGUGCAAAAAUUAGACAACAAUUUAAGACUUAGGUAUGAAAAUUCGCUUAAAAACCCUAAGGAAAUAGCUACCUUAAAUUCACUGCAGUCGUUUCGGAAAAGGAAUACACUAGAAGCAGCACAAGCCUCAAAAACAUCAUCUAAAUUUCAAAAUGCAGAAUUUAAAUGCAUAAUGGAAUGUAAUACGAGUACUUCACACAAUAUAUUUUAUUGUUAUAAAUUUAAAGCUCUUUCUACCCAGGCCAAAUGGGAUGCAGUAAUGAAAAACAAAUUAUGCACCAAAUAUCUUAAAAAAGGGCACAAUAUUUUUUUUUUUCCAAGAUUAUUUUAUUUAUUGAAUCUGCUUUUUCUUAAAGCCUAACAAUAAGUUAUAAAAUCUUAAAUCUAAUUAAAAACUAGACAGGCUCAAGCAAGUGAUUGAGCUGUUUUGGUGAUACGUCGCUCUUUAAUACGCAGGCAUACAUAUGUAUCUCUUCUUUUAAGUCGUGUUACGCAUGUACCAUGGUGAACACCUGAUUGUUCUAAGUAUUUUUGAUUGAAACCUUUGUAAUAUAUCAAUAUUAAUUGCAUAGGUCGUACCCCACAGUUGAAUGCCAUACAUCCAAAUCGGCUUUAUGGCCACAUUAUAUAAAAGCACUUUGUCGUCUAGGCUAAGUUUGGAGUUUUUAUUUAAAAGCCAAUUUAAAUUUGCAGCUCUAAUCUUCAUACAUGUUAUUUUACUAGAGAUGUGUUUUCUCCACGUGAGCCUUCUAUCUAGGUGAAUACCAAGAUAUGUUACUUCGUUCGCUUGGGGUACCAAAAUUAUAUUUAUUUUUACUGCCGCGCACAUCUUUGGUCUAAAAUGUGGCAUUUGUUACGGCUCACUAUAGCUGUGUCGUCCGCAAAAGUUGAUGUUAAUACAUUAUUAGCUGUUGGAAGAUCUGCUGUAUAUAUGAUGUAUAGUGUUGGGCCUAAAACACUACCCUGUGGUACACCAGCCCUUAUCUGUCGUUCAUCAGAUAUGAAAUCUCCCACUUUUACCAUAAAUUUUCUAUUUUUUAAAUAAGACUCCAAUGUUUUAUACAAUUCUAAAGGUACAGUUUUUUUAAUCUUAUAUAAAAUCUUUUUUUAAUCUUAUUGUGUCACAUCUUAUCAAACGCCUGAGCUACAUCUAGAAAUAUUGCUGAACAGUACUCCCUGUGCUCAAAUGCUUUCCUUAUCUUGUUAGUAAUUCUAUUUACUUUCUCUAUUGUGCCAUGUUUCGCACGAAAACCAAAUUGAUGCAUUGGUAUUGUAUUAUUUUCGUGGAGGAAAGGAGACAUCUUUGAAGGUAAUACUUUUUCAAAUACUCUUGAAAGACAGGGUAGAAAACUGAUUGGUCUGUAUGAAGACGGUUGUGUUAAGUCUUUCCCACGUUUACCUAUCAAAAUAACUCAAUUAGCAUUUUUGGUCUGUAUGAAGACGGUUGUGUUAAGUCUUUCCCACGUUUACCUAUCAAAAUAACUCAAUUAGCAUUUUUGGGGAAAUAUUAUCAUGUCCCGGCGACUUUUUUGGAUUAAGUUCUUUGAUGAUUUCAAUAACUUCAGAAGGUGAAGUCUUAAGAGACUCGAGCGAGUCUUUAGCUGUGUUGGAUAAAAUUGACAGCUUAAAGUUGUUCUUUGGCAAAUUGGAUUAGAAUACCUUUUCUAAGUGAUUUGCAAAGCAAUUAGCCUUUUCCUCGUCACUUCGAGCCCAAUUUCCACCCAAGUUUCGUAUAGGCAUGUUUGAGUCAGUUGGUGGCUUCAUGGUCUUUUGGACUUUCCAAAGGGAAUUUUGAUUGUUUGAAUUUGGACACAGCUUCUUAAUAUACAUUUCGGUGUUCAAUUCUUCCUCACGUUUAAGCGUUUUUUUUUUUAAUUUACGUAUAGCAGAUUUUAAUUGAAGCUGAGUGGAAGUGGAACGAUUUAUCUGCCAUUCACGUCUUGCACGCCUUUUUUUUCAUUUACAAGCAUUUCUAUUUCUCUAUUAGAGAUUUUUCUGAAACCAAGGGGCUUAUAGCUUUUGUUUGGCGUUGCUAAGACAGCUGCGCUAGUUUUUAUGUCAUUGACUUCUCUUAUGCUUUCGUCAAUAUCUCUUCCUGUAUUUAUUUUGUACUCAAUAUUAAUGUGGCUACAGACGUAUUUUUUAUAUUUUAACCAUUUAGACCCACUUUUGGAUUAACGAAUAUGGGUUGUUCAUAUAACUUUAUUAUUACAAGAGAGUGAGCAGAAGAUAGAUCAGUACAUGUAUCAGCCGUUAUGUGCGAUUUAUCUAUAUUUUUGAUUACAGCAAAAUCAAUUAAAUCUGGUAUUUUCUUACGAUCACUAGGCCAAUAUGUCGGCUUACCAGGAGAUAUUAUUUCAAUCCUUUCGGAUUAAUAAGACGUGAGCCCCAGUACGUGUGUUUUGCGUUGUAAUCUCCACCUGCUAGAAAUCUUUGACCUAGUGUUCCAAAAAAGUCUUUAAAUUCGAUUUAUGUAAUUUUAAACUGUCCCCAUAUAGCCGUAAGGGUUUAAGUCACAACCCCGAUUUUUUAGUGAUAUUGUUGUAGCUUGUAACUAUGGUGUAGCAUGAGAUUCUAGAGCAGUAUUUCCCAAAGUGGGCGAUAACGCCCCCUUGUGGGCGCUGAAGGUGUCAAGGGGGGCGGUAAGAGACCCAGAAAGAAAAUGGAGGCGUUGGGUAGAGGCCUGGGGAGUUAUUUGUAAUUUUAUUUAGCUAGGAGGCCUCUUAGACAACGACUACAUGAGCUCUCGACUCUCAAAAACAACUUGUGAACAUCAACUAAUAUGAAUUAAAAGAUUGCUCAAACUCGGUUCUAUACUUCUCUCCGCGUAGUUCAUAUAUCUGUCUUAUUUUAUUGAAUAUAGAAAAAAUGAAAAUCAUGUCAAUUGGUCGCUCCGUUUCAUUACUGGGCAUCUCGACAGGAUAGAAUUAAUAGAAUACUAACUGUCAAACGUAUUGCUUUUGCCAUUGCCAAAUCUGUAUGUGGGCAUUUGCUAUCAUAGUAUAUUAUAAUCAUUUGCGCAAAGGUGUAGGGUAGGUAGGUUCGAGCUGAUGUAGCGCACGUUUUGAGCUUUUGAACUCCUUAAAUCUUUUAUGUGGAAAAUAAAAAAGGAUCUUUAUCCUUUCUUACAAAUGUAUUUCUGGGAAAAAUAAGAUAAUACGAAAAGGAGAAAGAUCCUUUUUUACAAAUGUAUUUCUAGGAAAAAUAAGAAUUCAUAUUUUUGACUACUAUAUCAUGAUUGUGCUUAAGCAUUCCUACAUAAACAAUGUAAUAUUUAUUUUAUAUUCAUUUGUGGUUUUGCGCGCAAUAGAUGAGCAUUAUUUACGCCCCCUUUACACUACUCGCGAAGUUAAACGUAUUUCUCAAAGCAAAACAAUGUCGGAAGUAAAAAAGAAGAGACGGAAAUACUGUGCGGAAUACAUUAAAUUCGGAUUCAUUGAAAAUCCCACAAACCCAUCCUCGCCUUUGUGUCUUCUAUGUCUAAAAACAUUUUCGAAUGAAGCAAUGAAGCCUUCAAGACUGCAAGAUCAUUUGAAUAAAAUGCAUCCAGAUAAGAGAGACAAGAAUGUAGCAUAUUUUCAAGACCUAGAGAAGAAGCAUAAUACUUAGCCAAGUGUAGCAAAACUAUUUUCGGCGGCUGCUAAGCAAGAUGACGACGGACUUCGAGCUUCGCACAAUAUCUCUUUGUUAAUUGCUCAAAAAGGCAAACCACAUAACAUCGGAGAAGAGUUAAUAUUGCCAGCAAUAAAUGAAGUAAUAACUAACGUGCUUCAUAAACCGACCGCAGAUAUUAUCCGAAAAAUUCCUUUGAGUAAAAAUUCUGUGCAAAGACGAAUUGAUGAAAUGGCUGAAAACAUUGAAGAAUCAUUGUGCGAUCACCUGAGGACAAGCCAAUUCUCAAUUCAGCUCGAUGAGUCCACUUUACCAACUAAUGAAGCAUUGUUAUUAUUUCCCAGAAAUUUAGACGGAUGGCGCUCCGACUAUGAUAGGGUGCCAUAAGGGCUUAAUAGCGCACUUAAAAAAUAAAAUUGCAGAUGUCCUUGGUGUACAUUGUGUUAUUAAUAGACAACAUUUAGUUGCUAGAAACUUAAGUGAAAAACUAUUUCAAUCACUGCAAUAUGUCAUCAAAGGGGUCAAUAAAAUCCGCAACAGCUCUUUGAUUGAUAGAUUAUUUCAUCAGCUUUGUGUUACUAAUGACGAGGAUUUCAAUCGUUUGUUGUUUCAUACUGAAGUUCGUUGGCUAUCAAGAGGCAAUUGUCUGACUCGAUUCUACAACCUGGGGUCGAAUCGUUACAUCCGUGAACGUAUCACUCGUCACGUAAAAGUCUGUAUUUCGUAUUAUGACAUACGUGAUCGUAACGCUUAUAUACGUGAUCGUAACGCUUCUAUCGUAAUCUGGCAUGAUGACACACGUGAACGAGUAUAUAAACGUAUCCGUUCGUUCGAACCGUCACUCGAACGCAAACUACCGAUCGUAACAGACGAAUUAUUUAAAAAUGACAAAUUAUAAUAAGCUAAAUCCUAAACAAAAAGAUGUGAUGGCAGAAUUCAUGUCAAGCCAUCCAUGUUUGGCAAAAAAUAACCUUCCAAACUCUGCGCAAGGAAGAAUUGCAUCCAACAAAUUAUGGGAGGAAUGGCGAAGCAGCUUAAUGCCGUGGGGCCACCAGUUAAAGAUGCUAAGUUGUGGAGGAAGGUUUUUGCUGAUCAAAAAUAUCAAGCAAAAAAAAAACUUUCCUUCAAUAAGGCAUCAAAGCAGCGAACUGGUGGAGGGCCCUAUAAUGAAAAGUUGAUCACUGCGACGGACGAACUGCUAAUUGAAGCAGCUGGACUCGAAGCUUGCGUAGAAGGCAUAACAAAUAUUUCUGCAUUUGGAAAUAACCCAACUACGCAAGCUUCGACGUUUAUCGUUAACUGUGAUAGCAGUGAUGAGGAGGCAAGCCCUUUCCCCAGCUCCUUACCAGGCCCAACACCUUCCACACAGUCGCUACUCGAUACAAAAAUACCAACAGAAAAAACUCCACGCACACCGAGGAGAAAAAGUAGGAGUGACGAGAAGUUGGAGUUACUUCAACAAAACAUGAAGUCGCUAUCGGCUUUUCAAAAAGGCAUAGACCAGAAGCUUGAUAGGUUAGUAGCAGCACAAGAAAAAAUGCUGGCACUACAGGAAAAGCUGGUUGCCAUUAAGUUGGAAAAGCACCGCAUCCAACAAUCAACAAGGGAAAUAGACCACGAGAUAAAAAAAUUGGAGCUCGAAACCUUACGAAGGAAUUUAUUAUAAAACUUGGUACAUUUAUGUAAAUAUUUUUAGUUUUAAGCAUUUAAUGAAUUUUUCGUUUUAAGUAUUUAAUGAAUUUUUAGUUUUAAGCAUUUAAUGAAUUUUUUAAUUUAAUAGAGCUUUAUUUUUUUUUGAAUUUUAUUUAUUUAAUAUUUAAGAAAUGUGAUAAAACCAACAAACGUGAUGAAACGACUAAUAAAAAUAAUGCGUUUAUAUGAACAAAAUUUUUGUAUUUC
Molecule: long non-coding RNA, 6351 nt
Organism: Bactrocera dorsalis (oriental fruit fly)
Lineage: Eukaryota; Metazoa; Arthropoda; Insecta; Diptera; Tephritidae
Exons: 3
Source: RefSeq, a predicted model, not a curated record